UGUAUUUGUUUCUCAAAAAAAAAAAAAAUAAUAACUGUUGUCUACAAUUCCAUCUUCUCCUACUUUUCUGCUCCUUCCCUGUGACAAGAAAGGUUCCAUUCUUAAUUUCUGAUCUUACAUAGUUUAUGCCUUAUUAUUCUUUCUAUAACAUUCACUGUUGUUUAUAUAAUUAUAUUCCAUCUUCCUAAUAAAUCUUCCCUUUUUAUUCUGUCUUUUCUCCAAUCACAGAAUACUAAUUUUCUAUGCCAGAUAAAGCCAUUGGGUUUUCUGCAAAAGGAAUUACUCAAUCAAGGUUAAAGGUUUUCUAAAUUUUCCUAAUAGAACCACAAAAUUUUAAGAUUUGGGGAGAAAUAAAAAGAAGUAGCUUCUUCUUUUGGAAUUUCUUGAGUUGGAGGUAUUUCAAUCUGGCACAGGAGCAUACUAGAGCAAGAUGACAAGUCAAGAUGGUGCUGAACAACCUUGAGAAGACAUGUAUGCAAAAAGAUCCUCAGUGGCUUGGUUGCUUACAACAUUAGACCCAUAAAGACUUUUAAGAGAGAAAGCAUGAAGUCCAUAAACAAAGGGUUAAACUAUUUGACUUUCAGUUUAUUUUAGGAUUUUAAAUGUUAUUUUGAGCUAUGAAUCUAAAUUUUAAUGAUGUUAUGA
Long non-coding RNA from Quercus lobata, 645 nucleotides. RefSeq lists it as uncharacterized. NCBI's taxonomy places the organism in Eukaryota, Viridiplantae, Streptophyta, Magnoliopsida, Fagales, Fagaceae. The transcript has 3 exons. The record is from RefSeq and is a predicted model, not a curated record.